UACGCCCGGGCAAAGCUAACACGCUGUCCGUACGAUAGACAACGACUGAAUGGCACUGCUGUAGGUAGUGUGCGUUGAACGUUCUGUGGCGGCUAGAUCUUGUUACGAUGUGGAAAACAUCGGCAGUAGGUACGUGCAUAUUUGCAUAAAUUAACGAGGGAGCAAAAUACGGUCUCAUCGAAAUAUCAUUCUUUUUAGAAAUUCCUUCCUUCGAAGAAGCAACCUGUUGAAACCGGUAAUCUGCAUCGCGAUAUCUUGUUGCUUUCGUUCGAACUGAUUAAUCUUCCUUAGGAAGAUGGAUGAUAUAUAGACCAGGGUAUAAUCGUGCGCUAUACCAGUCGAGCAACUACGAAAGAAUAAUCACAUCUUUUAUUACAAUCAUCGUAGAAUAUUAUGAUAAAAAAUCUGUUUCAGAAAGUUAACAUGCAACAUGGAAUUUGCGAUAAUUGUUUACAAAAUAUCGUUGUUUCGAUAAUUUAAUGCUUAAAGUAAAACACUGUGGAUCAAAACCACGUCUGAGUCACCAAAUUCUCAGAACGUUUCAACACACGCAAGCCGUAACUAGGUAAAUAAAUCUUCGUCAGAAGACAUUCGCAAGAGUCAAGCUUUCAACGAGCAACACUUUCCAGCCCCGAUAGAUUUCAUAACUUCAUUUCAAACUAUAAAGUAUUAAAAAUUACGUACACGAGCCUGACGCGGUAAUCACUUGCACUCGAAUAAACUCCUUAUUCUAUCAC
This 737-nucleotide unclassified non-coding RNA is filed under the name Bombus terrestris (buff-tailed bumblebee). RNAcentral describes it as "misc RNA ENSBTSG00005035159.1". The record is from RNAcentral. Lineage: Eukaryota; Metazoa; Arthropoda; Insecta; Hymenoptera; Apidae.